GCCAACCAUAGUCUAAUAUCGUCUUCUGCAGAAAAAUUUGAGAUUGUGUAGCAGCUUCCCUGUUGGAUGCGGCAGAUUGUCUGUAUACAUUUCAGUUUGGCUUCAGACUUGGAUAAAGACAACACUGCUUGCUUUACUGGAUGAAUUACACAGGGAACUAGACAGGCAGCAUAUGUCCUAGUUGGCUGGUCACGGUACAUCCACACGGACACUGUAAUACAGCUUGGCCCCAGUUCGGGAAGAAGUGAUUUCGUUAUGCAAGUGAUUAGCUUGAUAGGUACGGAUCUAGUUUUAGGACAAGUGGGUGAUUAUAUUAAAGACAGAACCUUGCCUCAACAUUCUGUCAUCCCUACUUUCCCUUAGGUAUACCAGAGAACUUUGAAGAACAUAGGCCCAUUGAGAUCAGGCAAGCUCCCACUCUGUUAGCUUUUAAAAAAGACUUAAAAACAUGGCUCUUCCGCUGUGCUUUUGGUACAUUCAGUAGGAACACAAGAGAUGGACUUCUCAGUGGUCGCUCCUGGCUCUGGAACUCCUUUCUCACACAGGUAGAAGAGAAAGUGGGCUCACAUCGUAUAGUCUGGGUGUAUAGAGUGACUCCACUUGCUGCUGACAGGUUCACGACGAAUGGAGCUGGAAUGAUUGCAACCUGACGGCACCAUUGUGUAAAGGUCAGGCAGAAAUAGGAAGAACACCUACUGCAUUAAGAGCAUCUGUGGGCUGGCCUCAGAUGUUUUAAAAAUGAUCAUGCUAAAACUAAUUAAGAAUUCAAAGCAUUUCCAAAAUACAAUAGAUAGCAUGUAUCUACACAGAUCCAGAGUCAGCUAACAAGUACAUGGCAAAUAAUAUACACAAUAAUUAAUUAUAAAAUAUUGAUUUCUUCUUUCUUACACAAGAUACUUUUAUGUAAUGUGAACAGAAGACACCUACUCAAUUUUCAAAUGCUGAAGUGUUUCUGAGAGUUAUUUUAAUAUUCAUAAGAAGCAUAUUAAGAUGAUUUUAAAAUAUAGGAUCUUUCUAUAUAUAUAAAUUUUAGUCUCCCACUAAUAAUGUAAGUGUACAUGAUAUCCUGCAAGUUCUAUUAGAUUUAUGCAAACCUACGAAGGGCGGCACAAUUAUUGAAUUGUGUCUUUCUCAUUGAAAAUACUGCACUCAUAAUGAAACAAGCAGAAACGUGACCUGUAACUGAAUAUUUCAACAUGACAAAAGUGAAUUGCAAUGGAAAAUAAUGCUGCUUGUAUCUUUAUUGUUUUCAUAUUUCAGAUAUAUUUUGUGGUUUGUGAUGUAUCAGGGUGCUAUACUUCAGGGCUAUAAAAGCCAUAACCAUGUGAAAUAGAUAUAUUGUGCUAUGGAAGUAGCUCUUUGGAGCAACAGCAAAACUCUGUUUAUUAACUUUGGAUGAGUGUGUAAACCAAAUAAAACACAUCAGAAUUGCUUAAUGAAAUAUCUGAGUGACUGAGUAAAAUCUAGGUCACAUUUAUAUAAAAAAGGCAAAGCAAAACAAAUGUAACAUUUCCUCAAGCAACACACUAGAAUAUCCAGUGCAUGUUGCAACUGUGUCUGCAAUGUUAUUUAAAAAAACAGAUUAUUCCCACUUAUUUCAGCUUACGUUAAUCAAGAGACAUAACACUGUAUCUGAUUGACAAAGCAACUGCUUGCGGGUACAAAGCAUGGAACAUCAAAUUUAUGGCAUUCGGCACUCAGCCAUGACAGCUUUACUGCGAGGGAUAGAUGACUAUAUAACUUUUGACUAAGUUAAUAAUAUCUCAUAUGCUGAAAUGUAUCAAUAUUUUUCUCUAUUGCAACAGGCACAAGAAUGAGUUAUCUAUAAAAACACCACAGUAGAUAUUUUACAAGUUGAUACCAAACAGAUAUGCAGAAACCCCUACAAAACUUUUAGUCUCUAUAACCACUGUUUGUGGACUACUGCAGAUACAACACCUGAAACAGCUUGCUUGCUCGUUUAUUUAUUCAUGUCAAACUUCCUAUUGUACGUUAAGAAUUAAAUUGACACUGAUAUUUACUGUCCUUACGCCUAUCCAUACCUUAGUCCCCCCCUUAAGUAAAAUCAAGAGAUGCUUAUCAGCUUGGAUAAAGAUGGUUAGCAGUAGUUAGCAUUGAUUAUCAUGAAUGAUGGUGUCAACUGACUAUUUGACUAUACUUAAAACUAAUGUGAUGUUGCAGCAAAGAAGUGACUAUUACUUUAGACUGCAUUAAAUAGAAGCAUAGUUUCCAAAUUAAUGGAAGGAACACUCCCAGGAUAUUCUGCUAUGGUCAGGCAGCAUUUGGUAUACUACAUUCCGUUUUUGUCCAUUCUGCUAUAGACAAGCUGAGGCAGGUUUAGAGAAGAGCAACAAGGAUGGUAAGAGGUCUGGAAAUUAAAACAUAUAAGGAAAGUUGAAGCAACUGAGCAUGUUCAGCUUAGUGACGAGAAGACUAUGGGAUAACAUGCCCAAAAACAGGCCCAAAAGAGCUGUUAUUAAAAUACUUCCUUCUGUUUUGAAAGCAUAUGGCACUUUAUCACUGCUACUCAUUUCCAUGAUACAGCACUUUAUGAAACCUGUCCCCACUGGGUUGCUUUUAAUUACUCUGAUUUUAUCUGUUUGGAUUUUAAUGUAUUUGUCUAUUAUUUUAUUUUGUGUAUUGUUGGAAUGUAUUAAGUUUAUGUUAAAUAUGUUGUUGUUGUUCGGGCUUGUCCCUGUUGUGAGCCGCCCUGAGUCCCUUCGGGGAGAUGGGGCGGGAUAUAAAAAUAAAGAUUAUUAUUAUUAUUAUUAUUAUUAUUAUUAUUAUUAUUAUUAUUAUUAUUAUUAUUAUUAUUAUAACAUGAUUGCAACCUUUAUUGGCUGUCAUAGAAAGGCCUGUGUUCUGCUGUCCCAAAGGGCAGGGACCAGAUCUAAUGGUUUGAAGUUGCAGGAGAGUAGAUUUCAUUUGAAUAUCAGAAAGAACGUCUUGACAGUAAAAGCAGUUCAGGAAUGGAAUCAAUUGCCUAGAGAGGCGGUGGGGUCUCCUCUAGACAUUCUUGAUAUGCUUUGGGUCUCAUCAAGUGAGAAAAGUGGGAUAAUAAUAAUAGAUAUCUUGAUAGCUACCUGUUGGGUGUGUUUUAUGUGGAGAUCCUGCAUUGAGCAGGGGAUUGAAUUCACAAAGCCAUGAGGCUCCUUCUAACUUGAUGGGCCUGGAAGGAUUUCUGCAUAGAAAGAGAGAAAUAGGAGAUAUUCUCUCUCAAUUUCUAAGCCAGGUUAAUGGACUGUAUUAAAAUGUUAAACCUAAAGUCCAUUAACUUCACUUAACAAAAUACUAGCUUUGUAUAUAUGUACAGUAUACCUCAAAGUAGCCCCCAUGUCAGUCCAAAAAGCCAGUCAGUCCAAAAAUACUUUCUGAAUGUUACAUUUCUGAAUGUUUACUCAUAUACUUGUAUGGACUCACUCCUAUAAGCUCAGUUCCUUCAACUAUAGAAUCAACAAUUAUUUCUAACAUAUACAAAACAUUGUA
Molecule: long non-coding RNA, 3486 nt
Organism: Anolis carolinensis (green anole)
Lineage: Eukaryota; Metazoa; Chordata; Lepidosauria; Squamata; Anolidae
Exons: 3
Source: RefSeq, a predicted model, not a curated record